RNAcentral lists this ribosomal RNA (355 nucleotides) under uncultured bacterium. RNAcentral's name for it is "partial 16S ribosomal RNA". It matches the Rfam family "Bacterial small subunit ribosomal RNA", at positions 338 to 690 of the family's 1533-position model. The record is from RNAcentral.
CCUACGGGAGGCAGCAGUGGGGAAUAUUGGUCAAUGGACGCGAGCCUGAACCAGCCAAGUAGCGUGAAGGAUGACUGCCCUACGGGUUGUAAACUUCUUUUAUAUGGGAAUAAAAUGAGCCACGUGUGCCUUUUUGUAUGUACUUUAUGAAUAAGGAUCGGCUAACUCCGUGCCAGCAGCCGCGGUAAUACGGAGGAUCCGAGCGUUAUCCGGAUUUAUUGGGUUUAAAGGGAGCGUAGAUGGAUUGUUAAGUCAGUUGUGAAAGUUUGCGGCUCAACCGUAAAAUUGCAGGUGAAACUGGCAGUCUGGAGUACAGUAGAGGUGGGAGGAAUUCGUGGUGUAGCGGUGAAAUGCU